This 368-nucleotide ribosomal RNA is filed under the name uncultured bacterium. RNAcentral describes it as "bacterial SSU rRNA". It matches the Rfam family "Bacterial small subunit ribosomal RNA", at positions 8 to 404 of the family's 1533-position model. The record is from RNAcentral.
AGAGUUUGAUCCUGGCUCAGAACGAACGCUGGCGGCAGGCCUAACACAUGCAAGUCGAGCGAGACCUUCGGGUUUAGCGGCGGACGGGUGAGUAACGCGUGGGAAUAUGCCCUUCGGUUCGGAACAGCCCCGGGAAACUGGGAGUAAUACCGGAUACGGUCUACGGACGAAAGAUUUAUCGCCGAAGGAUUAGCCCGCGUUGGAUUAGGUAGUUGGUGGGGUAAUGGCCUACCAAGCCGACGAUCCAUAGCUGGUUUGAGAGGAUGAUCAGCCACACUGGGACUGAGACACGGCCCAGACUCCUACGGGAGGCAGCAGUGGGGAAUCUUAGACAAUGGGGGAAACCCUGAUCUAGCCAUGCCGCGUGA